Molecule: long non-coding RNA, 808 nt
Organism: Lathyrus oleraceus (garden pea)
Lineage: Eukaryota; Viridiplantae; Streptophyta; Magnoliopsida; Fabales; Fabaceae
Exons: 2
Source: RefSeq, a predicted model, not a curated record
GCUUGGGCCUCAAACUCCAAUAUGAUUGGGUCGACCCUGACCAGAAUCAUCAUCAUUAUGGACAUUAUCCUCCUGUAAGCGCUUUCAUCCGUUUGUGUGCCAUCAGCUCGUGCAUUCAUCAAUGGCGUUCCAGAUUUACUCAUCAUUGUGUUCUCAGCAUCAUGGAUUGGCGCCCGAGUUCAAGGCAUUCAUCGGCCGUUUCAGAACCUCCAUGGAUUUGUGUUGAGUUCAGGGCGUCACAUUCAGAUGCAACUUGAUUAUAAAUGUAAAUGGAAUCGAGAGUGGACUUACCGGUGACAGAUACAGCUAAGAUUCACUACCUCCUCCCCCUUACUUCUCUUCUUCUCCUUGUUCUUCACUUUUUCUCUUAUAUGCGUGUGCUUGCGGUGUUGUGCAGUGUGUUGUGGGAAGAUGGAGUCAUAGAGGAUUUCUGAUUUUUGAUUUUCGCUUUGUUUCUUUUGCAUGCCUUUUGGACCGUGAGGAGUGAUUGAAGAAGAAAAAGAUUGAGGGUGAAGAAGGUUCGCGUGUGGAUGGAAGGGUGAGCCUUUAAUUGAUAUGCUGUUGUUGGAUUUGCAAGAUUCUGCAGGGUGCAUGCUCUUGAAAUCCACGGGCUAACAUAUCUGACUGAAGGAGCUGAUCUGAAAUAUUUCAAGCAUGUAACCUAUAAGUGGGAUGGGUUUAAAACCUGUAACUUUUUUAAUUUGAAUUGAAACUUGAAUAGGAAUGUACAAAUAAAGAUUGUAAACAUGGAUUAUUUUGUAAAAAAAGUUGAAGUUUGAAAAGAAAAUUGGAUGUUUUUGGAAAGAUA